This 561-nucleotide ribosomal RNA is filed under the name uncultured bacterium. RNAcentral describes it as "partial 16S ribosomal RNA". It matches the Rfam family "Bacterial small subunit ribosomal RNA", at positions 355 to 909 of the family's 1533-position model. The record is from RNAcentral.
UGGGGAAUUUUGGACAAUGGGCGAAAGCCUGAUCCAGCAAUGCCGCGUGUGUGAAGAAGGCCUUCGGGUUGUAAAGCACUUUUGUCCGGAAAGAAAUCCUUGGCUCUAAUACAGUCGGGGGAUGACGGUACCGGAAGAAUAAGCACCGGCUAACUACGUGCCAGCAGCCGCGGUAAUACGUAGGGUGCAAGCGUUAAUCGGAAUUACUGGGCGUAAAGCGUGCGCAGGCGGUUUGCUAAGACCGAUGUGAAAUCCCCGGGCUCAACCUGGGAACUGCAUUGGUGACUGGCAGGCUAGAGUAUGGCAGAGGGGGGUAGAAUUCCACGUGUAGCAGUGAAAUGCGUAGAGAUGUGGAGGAAUACCGAUGGCGAAGGCAGCCCCCUGAGCCAAUACUGACGCUCAUGCACGAAAGCGUGGGGAGCAAACAGGAUUAGAUACCCUGGUAGUCCACGCCCUAAANGAUGUCAACUAGUUGUUGGGGAUUCAUUUCCUUAGUAACGUAGCUAACGCGUGAAGUUGACCGCCUGGGGAGUACGGUCGCAAGAUUAAAACUUAAAUGAA